GGUGAGAUGGCCGAGUGGUUGAAGGCGCAUGCCUGGAAAGUAUGUAUAUGGGAACAUAUCAGGGGUUCGAAUCCCCUUCUCACCG
Molecule: transfer RNA, 85 nt
Filed under: Enterobacteriaceae endosymbiont of Donacia crassipes
Lineage: Bacteria; Pseudomonadati; Pseudomonadota; Gammaproteobacteria; Enterobacterales; Enterobacteriaceae
Description: tRNA-Ser
Rfam family: tRNA
About the family: Transfer RNA (tRNA) molecules are approximately 80 nucleotides in length. Their secondary structure includes four short double-helical elements and three loops (D, anti-codon, and T loops).
Source: RNAcentral